This 465-nucleotide ribosomal RNA is filed under the name uncultured bacterium. RNAcentral describes it as "bacterial SSU rRNA". It matches the Rfam family "Bacterial small subunit ribosomal RNA", at positions 338 to 795 of the family's 1533-position model. The record is from RNAcentral.
CCUACGGCAGGCAGCAGUGGGGAAUAUUGCACAAUGGGCGCAAGCCUGAUGCAGCCAUGCCGCGUGUAUGAAGAAGGCCUUCGGGUUGUAAAGUACUUUCAGCGGGGAGGAAGGCGAUAAGGUUAAUAACCUUGUCGAUUGACGUUACCCGCAGAAGAAGCACCGGCUAACUCCGUGCCAGCAACCGCGGUAAUACGGAGGGUGCAAGCGUUAAUCGGAAUUACUGGGCGUAAAGCGCACGCAGGCGGUCUGUCAAGUCGGAUGUGAAAUCCCCGGGCUCAACCUGGGAACUGCAUUCGAAACUGGCAGGCUGGAGUCUUGUAGUGGGGGGUAGAAUUCCAGGUGUAGCGGUGUAAUGCGUAGAGAUCUGGAGGAAUACCGGUGGCGAAGGCGGCCCCCUGGACAAAGACUGACGCUCAGGUGCGAAAGCGUGGGGAGCAAACAGGAUUAGAUACCCUUGUAGUC